This 108-nucleotide small nuclear RNA is filed under the name Octodon degus (degu). Lineage: Eukaryota; Metazoa; Chordata; Mammalia; Rodentia; Octodontidae. The record is from RNAcentral.
AUUGCUCCUUUCCACAGAAUAUAUACUAUAAUUGAAGUGACACAGAAAAGAUUAUCAUGGCCCUGGCAUAAGCACGAAAAAAGAAUUCAUAGGGCCACCCAGAUAGCU